CACACCUGACAAAUUAUUAAUCUAAGGUUCCUACUUUUUACAGCAGGUACAACAUAAUUAAUUUGACAUGGGCGAGAAAAUUAAUCUAGAAAUUGUGAGCAUUCUUCAGUCUUCAUUUUAAACUGGGUGUUUUAUUAGAGUCUUAAAUUAGUCUUUUUCUUCCCAGUGGCCUUGUACACUGGUUAAUAAAAUUGUCGUAUUUGGAAACUGAGACUCUUAGAACUAAAAAUGUUUGCCAGUUAAACUGAGUUGUCAAUAAAGACCAGAUUAGGACUCACCCUAUCAAUUCAUAAGAUGUCAGUUGACCUAUUAUACUGUGAUGCUUCUGAGAAAAUAACAUGAAAAGAUAGAUUCAGAUAUUUGCUUUUACCGGCUAAUCAUAACGAGCUUUUUAAAAAUCACAUUUAUAUUCUUUCCAAUAUGUGCACAUCUAUACCCAGAAGGACUUCAUCUUUAGUUCAGCAUUUACCAGAAUUCAGUAAUAACUAGGUUUAGAGGGAUGAGAGAUGAUAGUUAAACAAACAUUGGUGUGGACCAGUUUAGACAACAAAAAACUUUAGGUCAAUUUUUUUGAGACGUUGACAUUCUUUAGAAUUCCCUGGGAGCUCAUUGAAAAUGUAGGUAUCCUAGCCUCAUUAUCAGAAAUUUUGAUUCUAUCUAUAGGUUUUUGUUUUGGCUCAGGCAUCGGUUUUUGGUGAGCUCCCCAGAAAACUCUAGUAUACUCCAAACUAUAAGAACCAAACUUGGGUUGGUCUAAACAUGGCAUAUUAAAAUUUCUAGACUCAAGAAAAUCAGAUUGCUAUCAUGGCCACUGAGCCUCUUGAUUCAAAGGAUAGCAGCCAGAACUCAUUUCCCAGCCUCCUUUGCUGCUAGAGCACAAGUAUGUGGCCUGGGUUCUGCCAGUCAGAUACACCCAUGAAGGAUCAGGAUUCCAAGGCGAGGACAGUGAAGAAAUAGUCAUUCCCAGAAUCAUCUUAUGGUGGCGGAAGUGGCCAGAUUUUCAACAGUAGCGGAGCUUCUGGUACCCAGUCCCAAGCAUCACUGAUGUGACCCGCCGCCAUGUUGGAGAGCUGUGAUGUGGUGUGAUGACACUGGGGCAUUGCGGUGAGGUUGGACACAUUCCUGGUUAUAUAGCUUCCGGACCUGCUUAGACUGGCCAGAUACAUUGCUGUGUUUGCAGCUAAGAGCCCUGAGUAACAUAAAGGAGUUAUACUAGUCAAGAGCAUAAACUUUGGAGACAGCAGCCUAGAAUCAAAUCCUGGCCCUGCCACUAGCUGUGUAAACUUGAGAAAGUUUCUUAAUUGUAACUUAUCUGUAAUUAUCUCAGCUGUAAUUUUUCUUAAAAUGGGGGCAAUGAUACCUCACAGGGUAUUAUGAAGAUUACAGGAAAUGACACAUUUAAGCAAUUAGCACAGUAUCUAGCGAUGAGUGGUGGUUGUCAUUAUUGUAAACCCCCCCUCAUUUCUUUUGACCUGAGAAAAGUUCUCUAUUUGUCAAGACUCCUGGCAGCAAGUGAUGAAAACCUAGCUCAAACUGGCUUAAGCAAAAACAAAAGAUAAUUUACUCACUCAUGUAACGAAAAGUUCAGAAAGUAGCCCUGGCUUGGGGUAGAACUGCAUCUGGACAUCCAGCUCACGUUGCCAGGAUUCUGUCUCUGUCCCUCCCUUGCCUUCCUUUGCGUGGACUUCCUCUCUAGGUGGGCUUCCCAGAUGGUGACAGAGAUAGCAGCCCCUCUGAAGUGACCCCCUACCAGCUGAGCAACCAGUGAAAAAAAACUUCUCCUUCCCACUAGUUCCAGCCAACAAUGGCCAAAGACUGAUACGAUUGCCUCAAGGGACUGGCUUCGGUCCCUUGUUCACCCCGGUAUCUAUCACAUGGUCACUCAGUAGCCCAGGCUGGUUCACAUCUCCUCCUAUGGAGCCCAAGGGUGAGUUAAACCCUCUCUAAACCUGUGCAUAGGCUGAGAACUUAGAAGGGUAGUUCCCGAAAAGAAAGUGAAAGCACUGUAACUGGAAACAAAGGACCAUGUGCUACAAAGGAUCAAAUAUCCCGUGCUUGCAGUAGCCCCCAUCUCAUUUUUUUAUUCCCAUCAAUCUGUUAAUGAGAGAACCAGUAUUUGUUUACCCAAUGGGAUGUCACCCAUCUGCCUAUCUAUUCACACCAGCUCCACCAGUGUGAAUCCCCUCUCCAUCAGGUUGCUUCUGUUUCAGUUGUCAUGGUUAUGAAUCUUUACAUGCGUGGCAGGGGGUGGAGGAGUGUAGGGAGGGAACGAGCACACACUGACCUGCUCUAGAGAUGACUUGGCCUGGAUAGUUUCUGCCCAAUAAGACACCACUGCUUGUCCCUUACUUACUUGCUUCCAUACCUUUCUCUGACAUCAAGAAGUACAUUUAGCACCAAGUAGAUGAGAAAUGAGUGUCACAGUUUAUUCACCACAUUCUGCUGCGAUAUAUAAAUCACAGUACAAUUCAAAAUGAUUUAUUUAGCCUUUCCAUUUACAAACAAGACAAGAAGAAAGAAGAGAGGGAAAUGAAAAAAUAAAAAGAGUUGGCAGCUUCAACCUAAUCAAUAGUGAGGAAGCUUGCCUGACACUGCCAGUUUAUCAUGUAUCUUGAUAGAAGGCGUCCAGUAUCUGAGGCAGCCCUCCUCAAGAGAGGUUAGCCAAAGCUGGGGCCCAGACUACCAAAUCACAGACUAGGUGGAAGUAGGAAGGGGAAUGGGAGAUUCUCAGAUUCAUCUCCUGAUCACCUGGAGAGCUGGGUCUGGAAGAGUGUCAGAGGCAAGUGUCAUGGCUGGAUGGUGGUCCCCAAAAGGCGUGUCUACCCAGGACCUCAGAAUGUGACCUUGUUUGGAAGGAGGGUCUUUGCAGAUAUUAAUUAAAUUAAAGAUCUCAAGCUGAGAUCACCUGAAUUUGGGUCGGGCCUUACAUCCUGUGACUGAUAAUCUUACAAGAGAAAGGAAAAGGAGGUGUUCCCACUGUGGCGCAGUGUGUUAACGAUCCAGCUUGUCUCUGGUUCAGUCCCCGACCCAGCGCAGUGGAUUAAGCACCUGGAUCCCGCAUUGCCACAGCUGUGGCAGAGUCUGCAGAUGUGACUCAGAUUCAUCCCUGGCCAGGAACUUCCAUAUG
Molecule: long non-coding RNA, 3127 nt
Filed under: Sus scrofa (pig)
Lineage: Eukaryota; Metazoa; Chordata; Mammalia; Artiodactyla; Suidae
Description: lncRNA (ENSSSCG00000059133.1)
Source: RNAcentral